Molecule: long non-coding RNA, 663 nt
Filed under: Olea europaea (common olive)
Lineage: Eukaryota; Viridiplantae; Streptophyta; Magnoliopsida; Lamiales; Oleaceae
Description: long non-coding RNA (OEUR_LNC010203)
Source: RNAcentral
AGUUUGGGGAGCUUAGAGACAGCCCAUUCUAUUAUAGCACAAUCUACCUUCUAAGAGAGUAAGAGUACAUCAAGAACCACUCAGAUCACAAGGUUUCAAUCACCGAUCUAAAAGAUCUCGUGAAAACAACCCACGAAAUCAACCAAACGUUUAGGAGUUUAACAAUACAAAUAUCAGCCACUCUCUCAAGCAUGACCAUUUACAAGAUCUACAAACUCCAUUACUAAAGAUCACAGAAAUCUUACAAAACGAGAGAGAAAAUUUCAGAUUCAGAUAUGCAAAACAGAGAACCAGAAUAGAGAAGGAGAAAAAUCUAGAGUGUGAACCAAAAGUCUCAUGACUUUUGGGUAGUAAAGGACGGUCCAUCUCCCAAGGAUCAAUCUUAGCCUUUAAUUGAAUCUAACGAUCCAAAACAAAUCUCAACUAGCACAAUCCAAGUAUCAAGUGUCCAAUAAUUGAGUGCCAAUUAGGUAGAGUUUUCCAAGUAAGCAGAAAAACCAAUUGACAUAAAUAGCACUCGUUUUAGAGUAUUUUGAGAAACAUCACUUUUCACAUUCUUCUCCUUGAUUCUCAACAACACUCGCUCUCUAGUUGCUGAAAGUGCCAUGGAACAGUUGUACAUCAUCAUCAUCCUAAUACCUGCAAAAGAAAAUUAAUCUCUAU